CGGCGUGCCUAAUACAUGCAAGUCGAACGCACUCUCGUUUAGAUUGAAGGAGCUUGCUCCUGAUUGAUAACAUUUGAGUGAGUGGCGGACGGGUGAGUAACACGUGGGUAACCUGCCCUAAAGUGGGGGAUAACAUUUGGAAACAGGUGCUAAUACCGCAUAAAACCUAACACCGCAUGGUGUAGGGUUGAAAGAUGGUUUCGGCUAUCACUUUAGGAUGGACCCGCGGUGCAUUAGUUAGUUGGUGAGGUAAAGGCUCACCAAGACCGUGAUGCAUAGCCGACCUGAGAGGGUAAUCGGCCACACUGGGACUGAGACACGGCCCAGACUCCUACGGGAGGCAGCAGUAGGGAAUCUUCCACAAUGGACGAAAGUCUGAUGGAGCAACGCCGCGUGAGUGAAGAAGGUUUUCGGAUCGUAAAACUCUGUUGUUGGAGAAGAAUGUAUCUGAUAGUAACUGAUCAGGUAGUGACGGUAUCCAACCAGAAAGCCACGGCUAACUACGUG
This 507-nucleotide ribosomal RNA is filed under the name uncultured bacterium. RNAcentral describes it as "bacterial SSU rRNA". It matches the Rfam family "Bacterial small subunit ribosomal RNA", at positions 40 to 507 of the family's 1533-position model. The record is from RNAcentral.